Molecule: long non-coding RNA, 12002 nt
Organism: Anas platyrhynchos (mallard)
Lineage: Eukaryota; Metazoa; Chordata; Aves; Anseriformes; Anatidae
Source: RefSeq, a predicted model, not a curated record
UGCACAGGCAAUCCGGAGAAGGAAAUAAUUCUAGUUCUGUCUGGUUCAGCAGAAACUCCACCCACUGAAGCUUUCCGGCAGGAAAUCAAGUUACAAACAUUACAUGAUCUGAGCAAAUUCUCAUACACUGAGCCUACCCUGGGGACAGGACACUUUUGCUGGCUGCUUAUUGAGGCUGAAGUUUUAGAUAUCUUAACCCUUUCUGGAGGAACGUCACAGUUUCUUGUGCUGGCCAGGCUGGGGAGUGAGAAGGAAAAUGGUUUUGUGAUAUUUGGGGUCACGCUUUGGCAGCAAAGAAGCCCCGAAAGCUGUCUUUACGUGGAGGGAAGAAGGGGAGGGCUGGGAAGUCUUUCUUCUGCUCGCUUUUCCUACUGAAAAAUCGAGCUCUGUCAACAAUAUGUUUCCUGGAACACCCUAAAGAUGACCAAAAAACGUGUGGUUUCUGGCACCGGCCUGACCGUGCAAGUGAAACCUCUCAAUGGAGAAAGGAACCAAAUGGGACUUGGACUGUUCCACACCCAUUGUUUUCUAUUAGCAGAAAGGCCUGAAAGACAAUAGGAGAAAAGCUGCUGUGGUAAAAAUUUCGGGCACCUACAGCUUCCGUGAAGGGUUAAGAGAAAUUGCAACCUGCACGUUUAAAUGAUAUAAGGAGCCUUAAGGAAGUAAACCUUGACGCUUGCUAGCAGCCCUGAGAGUUAAAAUGAAAAAGCAUAAGGAGAGAGCCUUUCUUUUUGCCUCCUGGGAAGCAAAAAAAAAGCAGCACAGCUCUUCUUUUUCCCUUUAUCCAAUUACCAGCAGAGCAGACAAAUGUCUGAAGGUGAGAAAGGAGGAAAGGUGGGAGCUGCCUGCAGUGACAACAAGGCUGCUUUUCGCCUGCUGGCCUUUUUAGGAGGACUUGCAGCCUCUCGGUGUGAUGCUGGAGGGUGGAAGGUGGCGAUGGCCCCUGCUAGCAUCGCUUUCCGCCCGAGCACGCCGUGUGUCGUGCCUCAGAUUUCCUUUUUGUUCGCCUAAGGAGCGGAGCAUCUCCCGAUGAAGGUCACAGCUUUGAUCCCCACGGCUCGCUCUCGUGUUUAUGGAUGGCCAUUAUUAGUAACAGAGGCUAGUGCCUGCACUUCUCCGUGUCUGCCCUUGGCUGGCUGCAAGGGAGCAGGGGCAGGAUAACAAAAGAAAGUAUAAAUAGAGCCUUUUUAAAAGCCUGUUAAAUAGAAAUAGACUUUUAGGGAGGAGGGAGAGGGAAUGAGGCGUGUUACCAUAGUAACUGCCAAUGGUUUAUUUAAAAAGGGCAAAGAAACAAACACCACAAAAAGGCGAAGCCGAGAGGAGCUGGAGAUGUGCUGGAGGAAUCUAUCGGGGUGCAGACGCCGAGGGGCCAGGUCAGGUUGUUGCAGCAGGCAAGAGCAUGCGGGCUUCCUCACUCAUUCCUCCAAGCUCCCAGACCUUAAAGAAAGGUCAAAAUAAGCUUUAAUCGUAGGAUCAGGGACAUUUGGUGGUGGAAGAGACCAUCUGCAGCAGAAAUGGAGGUCAGAGCCAUGCGGUCACCCCAUCCUUCUGGAUCUGCUUUUUCCACCUGCGGAGGAGGCUGCUUCCUGCUUGAAGACUGCCUUGUGCUAAAUUCUGCCUGUUCACGGGACAGGAAGAUGCUUUCUGCCCUGGAGAGCUCAUAGCACGAGAAAAGAAACAGCGGAUGGAAAAGCAGGUGUGAUGGUGCCCAGCAGCACUGUGAUGGGACCCUUCCACUCUCAACACUAAAGGCUCGAAGACCAGAAGCAACUCGAAAGUCCUCGCAUUUGGUUUGUCUUUGGCUGUUUUGUUUUGAAUCUUGUAGUUUCUAAAUCAGUGUAAGGAUUUCCCAGUGCCUGACUCAUGACUUUGAAAACCUCAGGGCUGGUACAACUGAAAGGGUUCAAAUGGCAGAGAAGCCACAAAGAGAGAACGAGCUGCCCUGUGAGGCGAACUCAGAAUUGCGAAAAAAAUUCUACUUUCUUCAAAAAACCACACCAGCAGCUUUAUCAGGGAAAGGGAAACAAUUGCAAAGAGCCUCCAGCCUCUUUGCAGACACCAUGGGCUUUCCCAUCUUAUUUGGCUUCAGGACACAGUUUAAAACAAUACCAUCUCUACUCAUAUAACCGGGAGGGAGACUGUCGCACCAAGAGGGUUACAUAUAUUUAAAAUCCCUGGAGUAGGAGCUGAAAGCCCCAUUUCUCCCUGGAGCAAUCCCAAAAAAAGGGUCGGUUUCCUUCUCCAACACCUCUCCGCUCGCUGUGUGCGGUGUGGUGGUGGCGUGACAGCUCCCGCUGGUCCCCGAGAUGAAGCUGGAUGCACAGCCUAGAAGGCUGAUGGCUCUUUGAGCCCAUCAGCACAGGCAUGUUGGCCAGGGGAUGGGAAUGAUUUCAUCCAGAAAGGGCCCUAGGUUACCUCACUCAGGCCAAUUUUUUUGUGCAAAACCAAACCUGCGGGUGGUGUCUUUAUUUUUAGCUUUGGAACCAAAUUCUCUCCUUUUUCUCCCCCAGAGCAAGAGGCGAAUCAGAACCCGACAGCUCCCGCUGUCUCCAUUCCCCUGACCCUAUGGAGAGUCAUCCCAUGUGCCCACCCAGGCAUGAGAAAUUCAGGGUGAGCAUUUUCGGAAGGUUUCACACAGUCUUUGAUGUCUCCUAGCCUGGGAAAUCGGUUCCCCUCCUGCUUCCCAGCUUGGAAGGUCUCCCUGUGGUAUCUGCAAGAGAUAACGCUCCCUUUCACUGUCUGAGCUCUGGGCCAGCCUGACUGCUUGCCUCUCCUCUUUGGGGCUGCAGAAGGGACAUUUCCCUCCAGAUAUUGCAGAAGGACCCUUUCAGAGAGGCUGCUCCGCCUGCAGAGCCAGGCAGUCCGAGCUGCUCCUCUCCAUGCUCACAGAGAUUGAGUUAUGCCAGGCUUUGACCUAAGUGAAACUGCUGACGGUCACAGGGAUUUGACUAAUCUCCUUAGUUCGCUGUGAAAUUUGCUAUUCCUUUUAGGGAAUAGAUUUUUAUUUUUUUUUAAUGAUUUUUUUUUCCCUUUGGGCUAACUCGCAAUGUAAAAAUAAACCGAAGCCCACGGUGGGAGAUUAAUUUCCUCCCGAACUCAGGAAGGGCAGGCAGUCAAUGCAAGAUCCUCCUGGCCCAUCCCAGGAGGAUGCUGCUCCUGGAUUCAUUCCUGGAGACAGCUGCUGUCCGACCUUGCCGUAAGACUUCCUUCCCCAGUGCUCUCCUCCUGGCCCUGCUGCAGCCCCCUGGGGUCUGAGUGCAGCCCAUGGGCACAGCCCAAGCCUUUUCCUUCCCUCCUCACUCUGCUGUGCCUCAAAUUCCUGUACAAGCAACACUUCUGGGGGUGGGAAGCUGAAAUGAUGAGAUCCUUGUUUCUAGUCCUCUAUGAUCUAUCUCCUAACGGAGAGGGAAACCUCAUCUCCCCAGGGAUCCAAUUUCCAGGGGCUGAGGAAUAAUUCACCUCCAUCCACGUGGCUUGUGGUGCUGUAGGAUUCUCUAAGGGGAUUUGGGUCCUUUUGGGGGGAAAAACGCACUCCCGUGGCUCUCCCCAUCACUCCAGCUGCCACCAAGCUCCUGUCCUCUCUGCAGCACAGGAGGAUUUGCACCACACUCGUGAUACAUCUUUUAAUUAACCAGCAUUACCCUGUCUUUCCUGGCUCUCCAAUUCCUCCCAUCCCAAAUGACAUUUUAGGGCAGAUUCCUUAUAUAUUAUAAACUCCUCAAACACCCCCAAAACCAGCAGUGCAUUGUGCCUUUACACCUGAAAUACUGCAGAAACAGCAGAGCACCUUCCACGUGGAGCUUUGCACGUGGGUCUUUGUGACAAAGAAGCCUCUGUAGGCUCCCUGGUGCCUAUAGCUGCUGCACAAUGCUGGCAUUUCUCAAAUAAUAAAGGACGGGUUGCUCACACAAAUGCCAGAGCUGGGCUCCUUUUUGUUGGGCUCCAGGGGUUCCCGUUUCUAGACAUUCCCAUGAAUUAAGCUGAGCAAGCUGGCAGGGGAGGAACGGUCUCUGAAUGUUGGCAUGAAAAGCCCAACCACAAAUUCAACUGUCAUUGUCCUCCUGCUUUGAAAGCUUUAAGCCCUUCAAUUAAGGAGAAAUGACAAUACCCAGAGUGGGAUUCCUUUGCUCUUCGUUUGGCACCUAAAAGUGAGAUGUCUGACUUGAGAUGAACUAGUCACCGUCGGCUCCCUUUAUUUCUGAUGCAGAGGAAUAGGAAGAACCAGAGCGUGAUUCAAUCCUCAGCAGUAUCCGAGAGAGGUCAGAUGAAUCACAGGCUAUAAAAGAAACCGAAGUCGUGUGGCCAGGCAUAAAAGACUGCGCUUUAGGUGCAUAAACUUAACAGAGAUGAAUUCCUCUCCUGUGACUCAAGUGGUCGAUCACACGAUGCCGUGACAAGCUGACCAUGCUGAGUAAUGCUGCUCUGAUUUCAUGACUCGCCUUCAUCCCUGACUCUUUUUCCUGCCAGUGUGAAGGUGCAGCACGGUGCUAUUGACUCAUUUCCUAGCUCUCUGUGGCCGGACUGUGCGAGGUAUUAUCUAGCUGGCCACCGAGCAUGUGCUUGACUUCUGGAGGAGCAAUUGUGGCCUUACCUCGUGCUUCCAACUUGCUGUCCUUCCUGUCCUCUGAGACAAAGCAUCUUUGAAUGAAUGGAAGUGCUAAGGGGCAAAAUAGCUCAGCCCUGUGAUUCUGAGAGGUCAUGAUGUGAUGCUUGGGAGCUCACGCUGACCGGGGAAGCUGGAGAAGAGGCCUUGUGAGAGGAGCAAGGAGGGGAAUGGAGUAAGGAUGAAUCUGUGAAUUUGAGUCCUUUCAAAGACAGAAAUCAUCUAGCACAAGGUAAUGAGGAAAUCCUAGAAUCAGGGGAAACGGGGCUGAAAGGUAGACUUGGAGAGAUUGUGUAAUCUAUCCCAGAAAAGGGUCUAUUCUAUUCUAUUCUAUUCUAUUCUAUUCUAUUCUAUUCUAUUCUAUUCUAUUCUAUUCUAUUCUAUCUAUUCUAUUCUAUUCUAUUCUAUUUCUAUUUCUAUUUCUAUUUCUAUUUCUAUUUCUAUUCUAUUCCCAGUCAUUGAAAGAUAGAUGAUUUUUUUAGAAGGAUGUAGAGACGCUCCUGCAUUUUUCCUGAUGCUUUGGAUCCAUGUCCAGUGGUUCACGUGGUUUAUUGUGCAACGAGCAGCAUUAACGCUGGGGAGUUUCUUCUCCCAGUGCAUUACUAGAAGUUUUUUUGAAAGCUUUCCCUAGAAUUCUCUGGCUAGGUUAUCCCUAGAAAUUUCCAGCUGGGAAAUGGGACUAAUAAGCAGUCGGGUCCUCCUCCUCUGAACCUCAAGGGCACAUCAUUGACGCCAUGCUUCCCUAGGACCCUCCUUCACCAGUGGGAAUCUGUUUCUUGUUCCCCGUGAUAUGUGACAGUUGUCUGAAUUUGAGAGCUGAAAUAGAUGUGCCAGACCGUGACGGGGAAAAGCGCCUUGGGCAGGGCAGAUGGGAGGGAGCCAGCAGGGAGCAGAGUCACAGGCCGGCUCGUGGCCUUGUCUCUACCUUCCUUGUUUCUUUUAGCAGGCAGGGAAGGAGGGCUGUUGGCCAGGGCUGUGCUUCUUCUGAGCUGAGGACAUGGAGAAACCAUGCACAUGCCUCUGGGGAUGUACGUGCAGCUAAGACCAGUGUGCAGAGCGGGCACACGACGGUGCUUGCUGUAGAGGAGAGGGCAGCAGAGCCUGGCUGGGUGAUGGCAGUGCUAGGUAGCAUCAUCAAGGAUGAGAAGAGAGCUGUGAGACCAGAACUAACCCUGCCUGCUCAGAAUUCACUGCUCAAAUUCAGGUGUAAUGCACUCAGCAAGCGGCCUCUGGGAGGACGGGGACCCCUUGGUGCUGAGCAGUGCACAGAAUUUCAGGUGGGAUUGGAGGUGACCUCUCAGGUCACUAAGCCCUGUCCUGGCUGGUACUGGCACUCUUAAUGCCAACAUUAAGCACCUGAGAUGCACCCGAGCUGCUUUGCCCACUGUCUGGGCCAGAUCAUGCCCAGAAACCCUAAAGUCAUCUGGCUUUGAGUGCUCAGUGCUGCGACAGGGCUUGCUGGGCUAAAACGCUGCUACACCCAUCCCCUGGGAGAGGUCCUUAAAAAAAAAAAGAGACUUGUUUCUCUUGCAAAGCCUGAGAGACCUUGAAUACUUUAAAUCACAUUAGCUAUUCGUACAGCAAUAAUUAAAUAAUGCCGAAUGCUCCAGAGGGAUGUGCUCAGUAGCUCCAUGACCUUACUGGCAGAAGCUCUCCCCUCCUUUCUGCGUGUAAGCACCCGAGGGUGUUGCUCCAAUUAACCUCUGAGCUCCUGAACAGAUCCCCAUAAUCCUAAAGAGAUUUUCCUGCCAAUCUGGUGGAGGCUUAUGGGAAAGGAGCAGUGCCUCGAGUCGGUUGGGGUGGGAACAAGUCCUUUCCAUUUCCUCAUUCCUCGUAGCUUCGAGGUAUUGCGUGCUUGGUCUAAGCCUCCCUUGUGUGGUGCCUUAGCCCGUGGUGAUGGCUGAACUUUAUUCUGACAUACACGAGGGGUGAGAGGAGCAUUAUUCAUCCCUACAUGACGUGCCUGCUAUGGGCACACCUUGUUUGGUUAGCAUCAGGGAAGGGAUUUUGGUUCUGGAGGUUAGGGUCAGCCUCGCCUGAACUGUUUUGUGGUUUCACUUCAGUCACCUGAAAUACUCCCUGCUCUUGGGGUGCUGAGACACCAAAAGCAUUGAGAAGCCAAGCCUUUUUACUCCAUCUCAUGGCAGACAACAAAAGGAUUGAGGUUCUCUGGAGGUCUGGUCCCCAUGUCCAAGUGCUCUGGAGUCCACAGGCUUUGGGCAUCAAAAUCCUGCUCCAAAUGUCCUCGUCCCGCACCGCUGCAAUCCACGUGGCUAUUGCUGGAGCUGCUUUGGUGUCUGAGAGCCAGCAGGAUUUGGCCUUCAGGGACAGCUGAGAAAACCACCUCCACCUGAAGGCGUCAGGCUGGGGUGGAGGAAUUAAUCUGGCAGGAGGAUUGCCCCGGCGGGUCAGGCAGAGAGGCGCACGGGGAGGGCUGGAUGGGUUCAGACCACGCUCUCGUGUGUUUGCGUCUCCCCUCGGUUCCCACGCCUCUGCACUUCCUUGUUUAGCCCAGGCCCGGAAGCAAAACUGCUGAAAUGCGAGGAGGAAAGUCAUUCUCAUGGUGUUUCCAGCUCAAACCGAACCAGGAGGGAGAGAGGAAAUCCCAUGAGAAAGCCUCGUGGAUUGCCAGCCCGCUCCCGCUCGGGGCCGUGGUGCUCUCCUGGUGUCUCCUCUGAGCCCUGAGCUCUUGCCGUGCUUCCAGGAGCAUGGAAAUCCCACAGCACCAGAGUGACAGCGAUACCGGGGUCUAGAAACUUCCAGCAGCCCCGUGGAGCUUUACUUUUCUCUGCUCCAGCCUGGAGACGGAAAGGAGCAGUGGGUUUGCUGCUUGUUCCCACCGUGGAUGAAGAUGAUGAGGGUGGCUUCUGCAGACCAGAGGUUUUCCUGUUGAUGGCCAAGGGAGAUGGAGCUCCUUUUGGGCACUUCAUGCUCAGGUGGGGUAUUCAGGAGAUAACUAGGGAUUUUGAGUGGGAAAGCAAGCUCAGAAUGGGCACCAGUAGCACCAGUAUCCUCAAAUGGAUCCACAUUUCCUCACACGAGGCAUGAGAUCCACCAGGGAAAGGAGGUCAAAUUUGGGCACCACUGUAGCCUCUCCUGACACGGUGAUGCCCCAUCAGUUGCAGUUGCCCCAUCAGCUCUGCGAUGCAGAUGAGGCCACCAGACUGCACGGGAGAGGGAGGUAUCAGGGGUUAGGAUGGAUGCUGCAGCCAGGCAUCACCAAAAAUCACGCUAGGAUGUGGUAGAAGCAAGAAACACCCCCCAGUACCUGGCUGCUGCCUGCUGAUGCCACGAGGGAUCCACUCUGGGCAUCGCUCCCCCACCUAACACAACCCUAACGAGUGGCCGGUCCCAUUCAUCCCGGUGUCCUUCCCAGCAGCGGGCUGUGCCUGUUAACCACAGACCAUGUUAAAACGAAAAGCGUUUCCUCACCUAUUUACUUUUACAUUUAUCAGCCCUUGCUGCCGCCGAGCGAUGCCAGUAAUUAGGAGCUUGCUGCAUCCCCAGCUUUGGUUCCGCAGCGCAGCCGAUGCAGCAGCAAUUAAUCUCCCAGCAAGCACAGGGGAGGUGAAUACGGCAGCUCUGGGGCCAGAGAUAAUCUUGGGAUAAUUUAUAAUUGCAAAGCCAUGCCCGGAGUGGGAGAGACCUCUGGGAGUUGCUUUGCUUUUCGGUUCAGAGAGGAGGCUGAAUGACAGAGGGCUGGUGCUGGCCGGCUUAUUUGUCCCGUCGUUUGCAUUGGAAGCCUUCCAUCUUCUGGCACCGAGGGCUUUGGGAUGGAUUUUGUCUCCCUUCAGAAGAGCUGAGCAGCCUGAAGCAGGUCUCGGCUGAAGGGUGGGUGGAAUGCAAGCUCUGAUUCCUCCCUGUCGUGACUGAGAAUAACUUGCCACAAAGGAAGAGAAAAAAAGAAAAAAAAAAAACACCCAAGGAGACAGGGUUCGUGCUUGCUAUCUUACAGAUCCUUAGAGAAGCUCCAGGAGUGAUGCUCUGCCUCUUUUUUUUUUUUUUUGGUGUAUAGCGACCCUAGGGAGCCAGCUUUUAAGCAUCAGUGCUUCAGCUGAGUGUGUUUGAAAUCCCCCAAAGGCCCCAAGUCUCUGGCACACCACCAGGUACCAGGCAGCUGAUGCACCCUGCAGAUGGGGGGACAGUGGCACCUGCAGCUCCUCCACCGCACUCAUACGUCCCCUGCACCUCUGCCCAGCCUUUGUGGGAACAGUUUCCCUCCCAGGAGGACAGGGGUAUGAGCUUGGCGUGGAAGCACAGAAGAAAUCCCAGGUUCCUGGUUCUCCAGCAAGAAGGACAUGAGUCAUUCCCAGCGUGGAUAAAGCCCUGUAACCUAUUCCCACUGCUUUUUCCCUCCCUGGGGGCUGACAUUGCAAGUACCAGUGGAAAUCUCUGGAGGGUCGAUAGGGAACUUCUGGUAAUCCUCACCCAAAUUUCCUUAACCUCCAUAAGUGCUUCUUCUGCAUCACACCUCCAAGCUGGACCUGGGUGGUCUUGGGAGAGUAGACAGUGUCCAUAGGCACCCACUUAGCCUUGUCCCUUAUUUUCCUUUAUUUUUUUUAAUUGUUGGGGAAGGGUGCUUCCAAGAGCAUCUGCGGGAGGUGGAAGGGUAAAAGGAUAGCUGGCUGCUAUCAUGACCCAUCACAGCUGAGAGUCCCAAUUCUGCCCAGCCACUGUGGUCUGACCAAGACUCCGGAGCCUGAGAGCAGGAUUUGGCUCACGUGCUUUCCCUUUGGGACCUGGAAAACCUUCAUCAGAUGCAAAUCCAUUGUACAGGUGUGAAAUGAAUUCUCUGUUCCAUUUCCCUGCAUCGCUAGAUAAGCAUCGCUGGCUAUUUUUGAACCUACAGAAGAGGACAUUGAGACCCAACAAUGUUAUGGGUCCGAGCCAAAGCUACGUGAGCCAGUGGUGAAGCUGGUGAUGUGUUGUGUGCUUAAAGUUAAGGGUUUUCUUAGGGUCUGAUGGGCUGGAGUUAGGAACAAGACCCCAACACUCUCAGUGCUAAUAUUUAGCAUAGAGUUGAACAGGGUUUUGGGCAGGUUUUUUCCUAGUAACGGGGAGGUUUCAUGCUGAGGAUCAGGGAUGGUGAGGCACAGUGCCAUUAAUACGAGGUGUACAAGCACAGUAAAAUGAGCUUCACAGAGCCAGCAGGGGAAAUACAGUAGGAAACAUACAGCUCUACAAAGAAGAAGCAAGAAAUUGGGACAGGCCAUCAAAUGACCUCUUUACAAAUAAAUUAUAGGUACCAAAGAGAUGGGUCUGGUCAAGAAGAAACUUUGAUUUCCAUCAAAUUCUCCUUGUGAGACUCCUUCUGGAAAGAAGAGAAGCAGCAGAUGCCACGUGCCUUAGAUCCAGCAGGGCUUUCAUCCCUGAUUUUCUCCUAAACCAUCUGAAAUGUAUGGCUUGGAUGCUUAUUAAUGUGGCCUCCAAGAGGGGAAGGGGAAGGUGAUUGUGGCUCUGCAGGGUGGAUGAGCUUAGAGAGGAGCCUUAUUUUGGUGGAUAUGAAGAAGACUGGUAAUGGCACUGGAGGAUGAAGUUGAGAUGUAGGGUGGCUUUAGCUCAGGGGAGGAAAAGCCUAAAAAGAGUAGAGUGAGCUUCAGUCAGGAGAGACACGGGGUGGAAUAAGGCAGCAGCUGCUGCACAAAUACAGAAUGGGGAACAACCGGUUUGGGCAAUGGGUUACCAGGCGAAUGUGAGUCAGGAAAUCCACCCUCUUCUAGAGGGAGCAGAGAGCAUGCUGAGAGGUGUAAACAAGCACAUAGCCCAGCCUGAAAGUCAAAGUUACGUGCUUGGAAGUGGGGCAGUGCAUUUCUGUCACCAUGCUCUAAGUCGGGAAAAGAAUGAUAGAAAGUCUUGGGAAAUCUAAUGUAGGAGGAAAGGUUUGAAGAACUGGGGUUUUUAGCUUAAGGAGGAGAAGCCCAGCCCCCCUGGGUUAUCACAGAGGGCUUCGUGAUGUAAAAAUUCACCGUAAUAGAAAAAGAAAUGUUGGCACAGCUUGCUGAAUUUCUCUUACAAAUACAUCCUGAAUUCUCCUGAGAUUAAAUACGGCUCAGUUAAUAGGAGAGGCCAUUCUUCUGGGAACCAGCAUCACAUACAGAUAAUUAAUGAUUACGAACGCUGCAGGAUGUGAGAGCCUGAGCAAAGUUUUUGACUGCAAGGUGCUCCAGCAAGUCUUAACUCACUGUGGACAUUUGGGAUUUGAUAAAGCUGUUGCCAAAAAGGAGUGCGGAGAAGUACUAAUUAUAUAGACUACAGCGCAGCAACGAUGCCAGUAUAACUCUUAUUCCUGCCUAUAUUCAGUAUGAUAUUCAUUGUCAGCUGAAAUCUCUUGGGAACUUUGCUCUUUUCUUUUUAUUGAGCCUGGCUGUUUAAUGGGUAUUAAAACCGAGCGGUAUUAUUCAUUCUGAAAUAGCAUGUCCAGCAAAUGAAGUUAUAUUUUUCUUUCGCUCUUAAAUCCAGUCUGUUACAGAUUAAUUUGCAGUUCCUAAUGGCUCGAGCAGCAUGAGGUAAUAUUUCAGGAGGUGGGUUGUUUUUCUGCCUGUCUGUGCCCCUGCAGAUGUGAACAGAUAAAUCAGGGUGUGGAGUAUCUGUCCUCGCUCAGCAAGUCAAAUGGUGAGGACAGGGAGUGCUCCUCCAGUGAAUGUUGAGCCAUGCUUCCUUUUAGAUAUGAUGAGGGCAUGGUUUUCGUGGUCUUCAGGGGUGCAACCAAGGCCAUGGUCUUCACCAAGGAUGCAACCAAGGCCGUGGUCUUCAUCAAGGAUACAGCCAAGGCCAUGGUCUUCACCAAGGAUGCAACCAAGGCCGUGGUCUUCACCAAGGAUACAGCCAAGGCCAUGGUCUUCACCAAGGAUGCAACCAAGGCCAUGGUCUUCACCAAGGAUACAGCCAAGGCCAUGGUCUUCACCAAGGAUGCAACCAAGGCCACCCAGAGCUGCCAGCAGGAGGUCCCACGGUGCCUGGCCCCAAGAGCUCUUUGCCAGUCCCAAAUACGUUGAUUAUGGUGUCCAGUGCCCUCUGAUCAAGCAGGAGCAUCUUCAAGCCCUCUGCCCAAGACCUUGGAAGCCUCAAUGGGCAAGAGGCAUCUCGGGGCUGGGAGUGGUGGCUGCGGCAGCAGAUCCCUCAGGUGCUCGGUCUGCUCUGCUGCCAGCCCUUCAAACACUGGGAGAACCAGAGACCACGUCAGGCAACAACCCACAGGUGAGUAAACAGGAAUGCAACAAAUACAUGGCAUAUCCAAAUCAGUUCAGGCUGAUUUUAAGACAAAUAAAUACCAGUUUUCUUUGCUGUGAGAUGUUUUGUUUAAUUUACAAGGGUCUGCCCUCAGCUGCCAGCGCUCUGGUGUCUGAGCAAAGCUACCCUGGCCGUGCUCGAAUAGCAGAUGUGGGUGGAAGAACAAUGA